UCUUUAACGCUCAGCUUUCUUUAUAGUCCAACUCUCACAUCCGUACAUGACUACUGGAAAUAAUGGGAUUAACUGGUUCUUAUUUGGAAGACCUAAUGGGUUCACCCGUAAUGGCACUCAGCAUGACAUGGGGGGGGGUGGGCAGACCUGUGCUAUGACAGCUGGGACUAAGCCAGUGAGAUGUUUCUCUUAGAGCCAGGGCCCGCUCCUCCCAGGGGGUGACUCUGGGUUUGUGACCAGCAGGGGUGGCCUGUCUGUAUUGUAUUUGUGGUAUCUGGUGGAAGUGUCCCCGCUACAAACCUGACCCCAGCAAUAUCACAGAAGAGGGGCUGGCCAAGAUUGUCUGGGUCAUGCAGGGUGUGUUGGAGAGGAGUGCAUGGUCAGGCCCCCCCAAGAUGCCUGUUGUCUUGCUGUCUGUCUCUGCCCUGCCGGAGCAGUCCCUGCUGCACCUGCACCCCACUCACACGACUCACCUUCCUAGUACUUUCCCCAGACCCCAGCUGGUGAUUAUUCUUAUCAAAAGGGUUAUGAGGAGAGGGCCCCCCUACUGGUUUCCCUGGUAACUAAUGAGCCCACCUGAUGUCAAUUUUGGCUUUAAUGGGCACCCUCCCCCUCUCCUGAGGAGUGAGGCCUGCCACCAUGCCCUGCCUCCAAUCAGCCCACACGGUGGGGUGUUCCCCCAGGGCCUUGCUUCAGACAGAAGAGCUGCAACAAGUCCCUGUGAGGGUUCAGAAGGCAGCUCCUCAGCAGCCACACCCCUUCGAACAUGUACAUUGUUCCAUGUACAGUUCUCAUUGUUGCUUCUUGACCUGGUUCCUCAGGAGACAGUCUGCAGUAUUUAAGACCUGAGUUACCCAAACAGGAAUUGAACCAAAGCCUCCCUGCAUUGGAAGGCAGAGUCUUAACCACUGGACCACCGGACGUGUUCCUGCAAGCAGAAUGUAAGAAGGCUUCUGGUGAAUUCUAGACUGUCUCUGAGUAGUGUGUCCCUCAUCACAAAUACCUGGAGUGGGGGAGGAUCCAGAAAGCUGCCAUGCCCACAGAACUGCUUUUCUGUGCCUGCAACGAGUGCUGGACCAGUUCUACAAAGGAGGCCAGACAAGUGCUUACAAAUGAGGCACAAGGGCCCUUUCAUUGGUCGUGAAACUGGGCAAGUGAGGCCUUGCUGGCAUGUGGGAUGCAGCAGAACAGCUGCGAGGUCGCUUCAGUCGUGUCCGACUCUGUGAGACCCCAUAGACAGCAGCCCAUCAGGCUCCCCCAUCCCUAGGAUUCGCCACGCAAGAACACUGAAGUGGGUUGCCAUUUCCUUCUCCAAU
Bubalus bubalis (water buffalo) is the source of this 1316-nucleotide long non-coding RNA. RefSeq lists it as uncharacterized. The record is from RefSeq and is a predicted model, not a curated record. Lineage: Eukaryota; Metazoa; Chordata; Mammalia; Artiodactyla; Bovidae. The transcript is spliced from 5 exons.